AGAUAAACAUAGUAAUUUUAAACUAAAAAGAUAUAUCAAUUAAAUAUACAUAUUGCAAAAGUAGUUCAAUCACAAAGGAAAUCUCAUCAUCUAAUACAACAAUGUAUUCAUAUAUGCCAACAUACUAGUAAUCAACGAUACUUAGGGACAACAUAUAAUAGUAAUUUCGAAAUUAAAGAUUCAGACUCGAAAUACAUCUAUAUGAUAAAAUAAAUUCAUAACGAAGUAAUAUAAUAAAAAAAAAUACUAACUCAUAUAUAUUUUCUGCUUCUUUUCUUUAUACAAUAUAACAUUGCGAGAAAGAACAAAAAUUCCUACUUGGUAAUUUUUUAUAUCUCAUGAUCUUCUAGAAAAAGAAUUAUUAUGUGACAUGGAAAAUAAAAUUCCAAUAUGUAUGAU
RNAcentral lists this long non-coding RNA (399 nucleotides) under Linum usitatissimum (flax). RNAcentral's name for it is "long non-coding RNA (LUSI_LNC001495)". Lineage: Eukaryota; Viridiplantae; Streptophyta; Magnoliopsida; Malpighiales; Linaceae. The record is from RNAcentral.